GACGAACGCUGGCGGCGUGCUUAACACAUGCAAGUCGAACGAAAAGAGGGAAAGAGCUUGCUCUUUCCGGAAUUGAGUGGCAAACGGGUGAGUAACACGUAAACAACCUGCCUUCAGGAUGGGGACAACAGACGGAAACGACUGCUAAUACCGAAUAAGUUCCAAGAGCCGCAUGGCCCAUGGAAGAAAAGGUGGCCUCUACCUGUAAGCUAUCGCCUGAAGAGGGGUUUGCGUCUGAUUAGCUGGUUGGAGGGGUAACGGCCCACCAAGGCGACGAUCAGUAGCCGGUCUGAGAGGAUGAACGGCCACACUGGAACUGAGACACGGUCCAGACUCCUACGGGAGGCAGCAGUGGGGAAUCUUCCGCAAUGGGCGAAAGCCUGACGGAGCAACGCCGCGUGAGUGAUGACGGCCUUCGGGUUGUAAAACUCUGUGAUCCGGGACGAAAAGGCAGAGUGCGAAGAACAAACUGCAUUGACGGUACCGGAAAAGCAAGCCACGGCUAACUACGUGCCAGCAGCCGCGGUAAUACGUAGGUGGCAAGCGUUGUCCGGAAUUAUUGGGCGUAAAGCGCGCGCAGGCGGCUUCCCAAGUCCCUCUUAAAAGUGCGGGGCUUAACCCUGUGAUGGGAAGGAAACUGGGAAGCUGGAGUAUCGGAGAGGAAAGUGGAAUUCCUAGUGUAGCGGUGAAAUGCGUAGAGAUUAGGAAGAACACCGGUGGCGAAGGCGACUUUCUGGACGAAAACUGACGCUGAGGCGCGAAAGCGUGGGG
This 771-nucleotide ribosomal RNA is filed under the name uncultured Peptococcaceae bacterium. RNAcentral describes it as "bacterial SSU rRNA". It matches the Rfam family "Bacterial small subunit ribosomal RNA", at positions 28 to 766 of the family's 1533-position model. Lineage: Bacteria; Bacillati; Bacillota; Clostridia; Eubacteriales; Peptococcaceae. The record is from RNAcentral.